Molecule: ribosomal RNA, 490 nt
Filed under: uncultured bacterium
Lineage: Bacteria
Description: partial 16S ribosomal RNA
Rfam family: Bacterial small subunit ribosomal RNA
Source: RNAcentral
AUUGAACGCUGGCGGCAGGCCUAACACAUGCAAGUCGAACGGUAACAGGAAGCAGCUUGCUGCUUCGCUGACGAGUGGCGGACGGGUGAGUAAUGUCUGGGAAGCUGCCUGCUGGAGGGGGAUAACUACUGGAAACGGUAGCUAAUACCGCAUAAUGUCGCAAGCACAAAGAGGGGGACCUUCGGGCCUCUUGCCAUCGGAUGUGCCCAGAUGGGAUUCGCUUGUUGGUGGGGUAACGGCUCACCAAGGCGACGAUCCCUAGCUGGUCUGAGAGGAUGACCAGCCACACGGGAACGGAGACGCGGUCCAGACUACUACGGGAGGGAGCAGUGGGGAAUAGUGCACAAUGGGCGCAAGCCUGAUGCAGUCAUGCCGCGUGUAUGAAGAAGGCCUUCGGGUUGUAAAGUACUUUCAGCGGGGAGGAAGGGAGUAAAGUUAAUACCUUUGCUCAUUGACGUUACUCGCAGAAGAAGCACCGGCUAACUCCGUG